Molecule: ribosomal RNA, 337 nt
Filed under: Winnertzia nigripennis
Lineage: Eukaryota; Metazoa; Arthropoda; Insecta; Diptera; Cecidomyiidae
Description: partial 16S ribosomal RNA
Source: RNAcentral
GUUUUUAAUUGGAAUCUGGAAUGAAUGGUUUAAUGAAAUAUAAGCUUUUUUAAUUAUUAAAAUUGAAUUUUAUUUUUUAGUUAAAAUGCUAAAAUAAAUUUUAGGGACGAGAAGACCCUUUAGAGUUUAAUAAAAUUUUAAUUAGUUAAAUUUAUAAAAUUUAUAUUUAAUUAAAAUAAUUUAUUUUAUUGGGGUGAUAUUAAAAUUUUUAUAACUUUUAAUUUUUAAUUCAAAAAUAAUUGUAUUAUUGAUCUUAAAAUUUAGAUUAAAAGUAAAAAUUACCUAAGGGAUAACAGCAUAAUUUUUUUAUAAAGUUCAAAUUAAUAGAAAAGAUUAU